This 253-nucleotide ribosomal RNA is filed under the name uncultured bacterium. Its description in RNAcentral is "partial 16S ribosomal RNA". It matches the Rfam family "Bacterial small subunit ribosomal RNA", at positions 524 to 776 of the family's 1533-position model. The record is from RNAcentral.
UACGUAUGGUGCAAGCGUUAUCCGGAUUUACUGGGUGUAAAGGGAGCGCAGGCGGCACGGCAAGCCUGACGUGAAAGCCCGCGGCCCAACCGCGGGACUGCAUUGGGAACUACCGGGCUGGAGUGCCGGAGAGGUAGGCGGAAUUCCUAGUGUAGCGGUGAAAUGCGUAGAUAUUAGGAGGAACACCAGUGGCGAAGGCGGCCUACUGGACGGUGACUGACGCUGAGGCUCGAAAGCGUGGGGAGCAAACAGG